This 269-nucleotide ribosomal RNA is filed under the name uncultured prokaryote. Its description in RNAcentral is "partial 16S ribosomal RNA". It matches the Rfam family "Bacterial small subunit ribosomal RNA", at positions 524 to 792 of the family's 1533-position model. The record is from RNAcentral.
UACGGAGGGGUCGAGCGUUAUUCGGAUUCACUGGGCGUAAAGGGCGCGUAGGCGGGAUCGUGGGUCGGCCGUGAAAUCCACCGGCUCAACCGGUGAACUGCGGUCGAAACUACGAUUCUUGAGUUCGGUAGAGGAAUGCGGAAUUCCUGGUGUAGCGGUGGAAUGCGUAGAUAUCAGGAAGAACACCGGUAGCGAAGGCGGCAUUCUGGGCCGUAUCUGACGCUGAGGCGCGAAAGCCGGGGGAGCGAACAGGAUUAGAUACCCCUGUA